Molecule: unclassified non-coding RNA, 423 nt
Filed under: Hevea brasiliensis (rubber tree)
Lineage: Eukaryota; Viridiplantae; Streptophyta; Magnoliopsida; Malpighiales; Euphorbiaceae
Source: RNAcentral
GAUUUUUUUUUUUUUUUUUUUCCAUUCAAAGAAAGUCCAUUGGAUCGGUAACAAUUGGUAAGCCACAUAGUGGGAGAGGCGAUAGCCUCAUCCCUUCAACAACUCUCACUAUAAGGUGAUAAAUCUCACAAUUGGUAGAUGAGGAGAAUCGAACUUAAAACAUUUCCAUUCCCAACACCUUUAAAGGGGAAGGAAGACCAACCAUGCUAAACCCUAAUUAACAAAUCUUUAUUUUUUUUUUAAUUGGUUUUCUUUAAUCUCACUUUCAUUUCCUUCUUUUCCUUCAUGUGAUUCAUCUUCUCACUUCCCUCAUUUACUUUCCUUACAACUACAGAGGACUUUUGGCAGGGUAGGCCAAGCCCAAAAAAGUUUUCUAAAUACUAAAUUGAGUUUUCUCACUGUCAAAGAGAGAGAGAGAGAGAG